GGAGUCUUGGAGGAGCCCUGAUGAAGAAGCAGGAACAACACUGGUGUGAAGAGCUGCUUGUGAGAAAAUCACCUAGAAGAUGUUGAGCUUUUCUGUCAGAUGGGAUCCUCCAGCUCCUCUGCAGGACAGCCUUCCUGGACACUGCUGUUCUGUUGGAGAGGAUUCCUCAGCACCCUCCCAAGACAUCACUGGGAAAGGAAGGUGGGAGGAACAGCAAAGGUUGAGCUGACUUCAGGACUGAUGUGAUCCUGCAGUUGACAGUGGGAGGCUUUUUUGCUCCUUUUUCAAUAACAUUUGCUGCUGUUGGAACUGUCAGUAAAGUGGGGGAAAGCAAUUAAUAUUUUCUCCUCUGUCUUUCACAAAAUCCUUACUUUUCUGCAAGCAAAGCUCUUGAAAGAAAUCAUAGUUCACCUUGAGGAACAAUAGGAGAAAAAAGAACUAUAAGAACUCUCUACAUGUCCUUUGCUCAUUAGCAAUGACACACUGUGGAGGAAAGAUAUCCCACAGCACAAGUUUUGUAAAUACAAUUCCAAUAAAAUCUAAUUUCAGGAAGAAUAAAAAUCAGAAAAGGCAGUUAAUUGGACAUUUCUUUUGAAAGCUGCUUUUUCUUCAACUUUUUGUAUUACCAAGUUCAGCCAAAAUUUUUGACAGCCUGAAAGUGCAACGCAGAGAGGAAUCAUUAUACUUUUUGCCCAUUAGGUGGAAUGGUUUUUUAAAGAAAAUAUACAUGCCCCUUUUGCAGAAUUUGCUGAGGAAGGUGGAAAUCUGCCCCUGUGAAUGCCUCGCCAAAGUUCCAUUUAUUCUGUUCUGUGCACCACUGAUGUCCUGAGCCAAAAGGGAAGCAGCAGGAAACCACGACCCGUGCUCUGAGCAGUCAGACCAAAUCAGGCAGUUUGAUUUUCACAAGGUGAUGAGCUGCUCUGGCUGCCACUGGAACCCCCAGCUGCCUUCCUCUAGGGCAUUGUGCAUCCACGUAGGCAGGAGAAUGCUGCCCUCAGCACUGGGUGUCCUGGGAACAAAUCCUUUUCCAAGCACUUCCAAGCAUUUCCAAGCAUUCCAUUUUCCAGCAUUUCCAAGUAUCUGCUGGUCCUGAGUCUCCACCUGAAGCUGGGAUUGGGUGACCCUAAAAAGCUUUUAGAAGCUCACAAAGACAUUUGUAGGGGUUUGCUUUUAAUUUUCCUCUUCGGUAAAAUUGCAAAAAAGCAAAACUCACACUGUUGCAACCAGAUUUAGUGUUUCGUUCCUGUUUUGAAACCUUCAAUCUCCACUGCGUUAAAUCUACUUUAAAUCUGAAUUAUUUUUCAAUGUAAAUUAUUAAAGCACAUAAAGGGCAGUGCCUGAAAAAACAAGCUGUAUUCAUGGUCUGAUUUUUGAAGCUUUAAGUAAUGAAAAUCCAGCUCUCCUUGGGUUGCGUAGGUGCUCAGUAAGACUCUCUGAAUUCAUUACAGAUGAUGCACAAUGCCUGAUUCAUUUACAAGAGUGUUAAAGUUCCUAUGUAAAUGUCUUUGAAAUGAGAGUGUGCCUUAAAAAUGUUUAAGUCCUUGGGAUGGUUCAUAAGAAGCAAAUGUCUUUGAGAUGCAAAUAUUUCCUUUUUUCAGUGAAAGGCCAGCUGUACCCAAAAAGUC
This is a long non-coding RNA of Zonotrichia leucophrys gambelii, 1625 nucleotides long. RefSeq lists it as uncharacterized. NCBI's taxonomy places the organism in Eukaryota, Metazoa, Chordata, Aves, Passeriformes, Passerellidae. The transcript has 3 exons. The record is from RefSeq and is a predicted model, not a curated record.